AGAUUUAAUGUCUACCACCCAUUUGAAUGGGACUUGAAGAAUAAAUUCAGUUCAGUUAUAGAACAAGUAUUUUUUGCAUGUUCAUUCCACAUCUGUAGCUCCAGCUCAGAUCUCUCUGUGCAUUCUAGACUUACAUCUGAGUUAGAUUAGGCUUUUCAGCCUCAAGCUGAGCAUGCCCAAAACUAAAGCCAUCUCUGCUCAUUGUCUCAUCUUCACCCCUCAACUAAAAUCUGUUCUUCUUGUCUUCCCUAUUUUUCUAAAUCUUGUCCACAUCCAAUAAGUUGUCUGGGGCAGAAACCAGGUAUUGUGUGAGGGGGUGUAGUUCAGAAAAUGCUAAAGGUCAAAAACAAACUAAGGCAUAUCCAUUCUGUUAACAACCAUAUAUACUGGGCUUCACAGGUGAGUUACUUUAAGAACUGGGCAUCCUUUUAAAAUAGUUUGAAAAACCACUGUACAGGAGAGGAUGUGAUGCAGUGGAGUAGAAGAGCCUAGAAACCCUUCCAUACAAGCCAAAGCCACUGAAAAGCCUGGAGAUUGGGGUCGGACUAGAGAGUGGGGUCCACUGCUGGAGGAGGCAGCUGGAGAGGAGGAUGGGAGUUGCUGAGUGUGGCAGAGGUGAAUGGCCAAAGGGAAGAGGGUUCAGGGAACAUUUUUCAUUGGCUGUUUUGGUCUUUAUCCAAAUAUUUGAGGGCAGGCAAAGUGACUGAGCCUGAGCUGCAUCAAGAAGGGCCCAGGGCAUCAGACUGUCUGCUCCUUCCUGGACAAAGCUCACGAUUCUCCAUGGCUCUCCAGGAAUCCAUGGGGCUGGAUGUCUACAAGAUGUGUUUUGAACCCACAGCCUACCUGGGCUACUUCAAGAUGGGCCAGAGCUCUGUGGGUGAUGAGUUCCUCCAUUUCCUGCUAAAAUGCUACAACACCGCUUUUAAAUCAGGUAACACAAACGAAGGGGAAACAAACAAAAUGUAGCAGCAGAAUCCAGGAGCAGGUGGUGCUCAACGAAUGUUUGCUGAUUGAGCUUUGGAAUGUUACUUAACACAGACAAGAACCGCCUCGAGCUGGAAAAGUGGCUAGAGAAGAUCCCAGGGGCAUUGGACUGGUCCCCAGUGGUGAGAUCUGUGGGUGAGUUUGAGGAGGACAGGUCAGGGGUUUGUUGUUUGCCUGGGAUCGCCAUGAUGCAAGCUUCACUUAACUCCCAGAAUCAAGAAUUUUUCAUGGGGCUCGUGUAGAAAUGGCAAAGCAGGGGGAGACUAAGAAGGAAGGAAGUGGGGGCGGGGGUUCCAAAAAGAAAGGAGGAAGAGUGAGAGAUGAAUCCGAUAAAGAGCAAAAGAGGGAAGAGAAAUAGAUGGCUGUAGACAGACCCAGAGCCAGAGGGAAUUGUCACGAACGCCCACCCAGAAGGCCAGGGCCUGCGCCCCCGCGCUGACAUAGACCUGUGAUAGACAGACGUUCUGAUGGGCAGGCGCCCCUGUUGUUCCAGUUAUAGCCUCCAGGUGGCGCCAAACUUGUGGCAUCUUUCUGCCCAUCGCAGGAGGUGGGCAUAGAAUUAAGACCAAUCUUGCAUGCAAGUGAACAGACUCUACUUACCUUGGAUAAUUUCAGGGCAGCAGGAAGGUCCACCGUAGCACCUCCACUCCCCAAAUACCACUGUCCCCAGUUAGGUAAGACGGUUGAAGUUGUAUAUUAGAUUCUUAUGUCUUUUGCUUAAGCCUGUGAUUUUUUUAAAGAUUUUACUUAUUUUUUUGACAGAGAGAGAGAGAGCACAAGCGAGGGGAA
Molecule: non-coding RNA, 1773 nt
Organism: Leptonychotes weddellii (Weddell seal)
Lineage: Eukaryota; Metazoa; Chordata; Mammalia; Carnivora; Phocidae
Source: RefSeq, a predicted model, not a curated record